RNAcentral lists this ribosomal RNA (412 nucleotides) under uncultured soil bacterium. Its description in RNAcentral is "bacterial SSU rRNA". It matches the Rfam family "Bacterial small subunit ribosomal RNA", at positions 509 to 916 of the family's 1533-position model. The record is from RNAcentral.
CAGCCGCCGCGGUAAUACGUAGUGUGCUGCAAGCGUUAAUCGGAAUUACUGGGCGUAAAGCGUGCGCAGGCGGUUUUGUAAGUCUGAUGUGAAAUCCCCGGGCUCAACCUGGGAAUUGCAUUGGCAGACUGCAAGGCUAGAAUCUGGCAGAGGGGGUGUAGAAUUCCACGUGUAGCAGUGAAAUGCGUAGAGAUGUGGAGGAACACCGAUGGCGAAGGCAGCCCCCUGAGUCAAGAUUGACGCUCAUGCACGAAAGCGUGGGGAGCAAACAGGAUUAGAUACCCUGGUAGUCCACGCCCUAAACGAUGUCUACUAGUUGUCGGGUUUUAAUUAACUUGGUAACGCAGCUAACGCGUGAAGUAGACCGCCUGGGGUGUACGGUCGCAAGAUUAAAACUCAAAUGAAUUGACGG